GCCCGGAUAGCUCUGUUGGUAGAGCAUCAGACUUUUAAUCAGAGGGCCAUGGGUUCGAGUCCCAUAUCAGGCU
This 73-nucleotide transfer RNA is filed under the name Paramuricea clavata. It matches the Rfam family "tRNA". Rfam says of the family: Transfer RNA (tRNA) molecules are approximately 80 nucleotides in length. The record is from Rfam by way of RNAcentral. Lineage: Eukaryota; Metazoa; Cnidaria; Anthozoa; Malacalcyonacea; Plexauridae.